Molecule: long non-coding RNA, 1533 nt
Organism: Drosophila obscura
Lineage: Eukaryota; Metazoa; Arthropoda; Insecta; Diptera; Drosophilidae
Exons: 4
Source: RefSeq, a predicted model, not a curated record
CUUUACGGGAUAUUUUGACGUCUAAUUUGGGAAAAUUAACCUCAUAAUUUUCCAUCUGUGAAUAAUUCUGAUGGACUGAAUAGUCUGUCCCUGGCUGAAUGAUUCUUCCCAUUGCAUAAAAUGCACUUUAAAACCGUGCAUGUUCCGUUGCAAUCUCCCACUCCACAUUUGUUGCACCUUCUCGCCGAUUUGCAUCUGGCCGAAGUGUGCCCAAUUCUGCCACAAUUAAAGCACUGAGAUAUUGUCAAUUUAAAGACAGGUGUCCCUGUGUUGUGACGAACCAUGGGGAACCAUGGUUCGUUACAGUGAGAAACUGUUUCUGGGAGGCAGUCACCACCACCCUAUAAGUUUUGAAUUGAUUGGAAGAGGAAAAAAGCUAAAUAAACAUAACACGUGCAGCUCGGAAAGUGCCCCUGGAUAGAGCUAAGACUACCGACCCGACUGCGCUAGACUCGCGCUCUGGCUCCAGUUCGUCACGUUCCACACCCAGCCUCUAGACAAAGGAUGUGAGAGGGAAAAGCCGGGCGCACCAGCACCGGGCGGUGUUAAUCCCAAACAAAUUAUGCCGCAGGGACCACCGUCAACCGGAUAUCCGGGAUCAACGUAUCAGGCGCAACGCUGAUAGCGAUCUGCUGGUCGAUCCCCAUCAGCGUCGCGUUCACCAUCGGAUCUAGCCUAUGGACGACCGCCAGCAAUGCCGUACGAUCCACAUUCGCAUGUGCGAACAAAUGAAAUAUGGCAUUCCACAUAUCACCUAUUGGAACACGGGGUAUACGAAAACUUUUAAUUUAGACUAGUCCCAUAUAUUAUGUUCCUGUCAUAGCCAUUGAUUGAUGAAGUCUAGCUCUUACCAUGUUUUUCUACAGCGGGCUUAAUUUAAUAUUUACGUGCAAUAGUAGCACCUAAUAAUUGAGAAAGAUGAGUACUUAAAUGAAGUAAAUUAUGUAUAAAUUUCAAUAGUAAUUACAGGAAAGAAAGCAUUAAGAAGAGAAAUGAACUAGUGGUAGAUAUAUAUAAAAAUACAGACCUAUAGCAAAAGACCAAAAUAAUAGUGAAAUUCGACGUUAACCGACUUUUAUCUCUUUAUGACAGUGCAUACCCACUAUUCGACCAUUGGCUUAUCAUUUCCUUUUCAUGAUCCAUAUUCCUCGGUUUAUCAAAAUUCGAUUCAAUAUUCAGCAAAUAGCUAGCUAGGACUGUCGGCACUUAGCAUAUAAUUUUAUCCAAUCAAUCAAUUUUCUACAUGAUUGGAUAAUUUUAACACAAAAUUUGUAUGGAACGUGUGUUCGGAAUGCUACGUCAUUGUCGUUGUUCGGCCGUUUUCAGCUGAGCAUGGAUAUGGAUAUACCCUAUACGCCCCAUUAUAUAUUAAUCUAAUAUAUAUACUAUAAUAAUAUAAUAUACUAAUAAAAGUGUAUGCAGUGUUGCUAAUGUGGCAUUAUUUCGUACACCUCACCACAUACUUCAUUCACAUUUCAGACUUGAAUUUUCACUAUUCACUAUUAUUCCGAGAUAAUUCCUAAAGAUCAUUCC